Molecule: long non-coding RNA, 1731 nt
Filed under: Pogona vitticeps (central bearded dragon)
Lineage: Eukaryota; Metazoa; Chordata; Lepidosauria; Squamata; Agamidae
Description: lncRNA (ENSPVIG00000001284.1)
Source: RNAcentral
UUAAAUUUGAAGCAGGAAGUAGUAAUUACUAGUCAUAACAAAUAAAUUUAGGUGUUCUGCUGCACUCACUCACAGUUUUGAUUUCCCAGAGAUUUCUAGCAAGUAUGAUGCAGAAGUCUCCAGACAACAACAGCAGAGCAGUAAAUUCUGUCUCAUAUCCUUUGAAACCAUAAUGGACAAGAGUAGAAUUCCACUGUGCCAGUCCCCUUGUUGAUUCAGUCUGCUUCCUUCUAUUAUUUAACAGGAAACCCCAGGACAAUCAACACAUGGAGAGCAAAUGCUCCUCUCCUUCCCCUCUCAUUUUUUACUUUUUCUCAUCACAGAAUGAACAGGAGAACAAAGUGGAAGGCACCAUGCCAGCUUUAAACAUUCUGAUACUUUUAUGGAUGUGUGACUGUGUUCUUCUUCAAGGUUCUGAGACCAUGGAAAAUGAAAACAUCACUCCUCUACCCAUGACUGGUCUAUUUAAAUCAGUGACUCCUACAGAAACAUCCCAGGAUGCAAAGACGGAAUUCUUAUCUGCACCUUCCCCUACAGAAGAGAAAUCGGCAGCACUAUCGGUAGCAGCAUCUGGUGUUAUCAGCUUCAUUGUCAUUUUGGUGGUGAUUGUGAUCAUCCUGGUCUGUGUGGUCAGCCUAAGAUUCAGGUGCCGUCACUGCAAAGAUGCAGAAGCAGAUAAACAGAAACCUCAACACCCAAUAGUAACUUACAGGUACAUCCUAAUUAUGUGAACUGCCUGAUUGUUAAAAACUAUCAUGUGCUGUGUUUGUUUUCAUGCUAAUGGGAUAAUGUAAUUUCUUCUGUUUUGUUGUUUCUGAAUUGGGUCCCACCCAACUUUGAUUGAUCCAUUGCUCCAAAGAUAACUCAGAUUGGGCAACUUUGUUUCUUAAAUGGGUAUAUAUUCAUCAAAACUAAUCCAUUUAGUUUGACAGUCAUGGAUUUCCCUUUCUGCCCACAAUAGAGCUGAUAUUGAAUGUAUUAUCUCUGUCAUGGUCUCUGUGAAUCACACAUUUGGGUGUUUCUUUUUUUGAUUGAAACUUGUCAGAACAGUUUAGAGAUUAAAGCAGAACAUUGUUAGGGAAGCCCCCCUACUAGUGCACAUGGCUUUGCACCUAGCAGUUAUCCCUCACUUUUAGCCACCACUGCGGACACUUCUUGGAACUUUCUCUGGAGCCCAUUUCAUUACUUUAUACCAUAAUUUUUGCCUUUUGUCCAUUGUUGUUUUCAUCUUCAGCCAUUCUGCAAGUUCCCCCUAAAAGUGUAUUGUAUGUACCAACAAAAUUCUCCUCAUCAACAGACAUUUUAAGUGUUUGUACUGCUUUGGUGAGGGACACUAAACCCAAGCUUGUCAGCAUUGUCAUAAAUUUACAAAGGUUGCUAUAAGGAAAUGACAAUCCCACCUCAGACUCUAUCUUUGGGAAAAGCUGCCACAGGCUGUCAGGUCUUUAUCCCAACAAACCUCUUGUAUUCCAUCAGUAUCUGUUUGUAAGACCUCCACACAAGUCAUCAUGCUGGUGAUCCAAUUGGAAUCAGGCACUACCAAAAACCAAGUUGAUCAGAGGCCAAGGAAAGUUGAGUCAGCCCAACUCUUACCAAUCAAAACCGAUGGCAUACUGUCGACACUGAGGGUGCCAUCAGCAUAAGAAACUAUGGCGUCCAGGGCAACAUCAACACCAAAAUUGAUAUUUGGUUUUCUAAAAGCAGAGAAAAUCUCUUGAAUUGGACUCUACC